GGCCAACAAAUUUAGGACAAGCCUCCCUCCCCAUGCUGCAGUGGAGGAAACGGAAGCUUUAGGAAGAGAAGUGCCUUCUACAAGCUCCACGGCUGGAAAAUGGGCAAAGUCAGGACUCAAACCCUGGUGACUCCAGGGCCCCAGGCCUGGGAAAAAGGGUGGCGUGACCCUGUGAACUUCAGCUCUAUUGCCCACGAACAUGGUGGACCAUAAAGAAAACCACCCACGGUGGUUGCUGCCUGCAACACAUCCCGAUGUGCCUGCCCUGAUCCUGGGUCUCCCCAGGGACCCCACAAUCACAGGACACACACAUGGGAGAAGGUCUCACAAGAUAAAGAGAUUUAUCCACUUGAAGAUGUUUGUUUCUCCACAACCAGGAGCUGUUUCCAAGAACCCACUCAGCACAAGAAGGCAGCUUCUACUUCCGGUGAUUUCAUCGCUGACCAAUCAGCACUCCCGGCUCACUGGCUUCCCCCCACCCACCAAGUUGUCCUUAAAAACCCUG
Molecule: long non-coding RNA, 505 nt
Filed under: Homo sapiens (human)
Lineage: Eukaryota; Metazoa; Chordata; Mammalia; Primates; Hominidae
Description: HSALNT0354806
Source: RNAcentral